AACGAACGCUGGCGGCGUGUUUAAGACAUGCAAGUCGCACGGGAUAAGACAUGUAGUAAUACUUGUUUUAUUUAGUGGCGCACGGGUGAGUAACACGUGAAUUACAUGCCCUAUAGUGGGGAAUAGCCCAGGGAAACUUGGAUUAAUACCCCAUGGUAUCGAAAGAUUAAAGGUUGCCGCAAGGCUGUCGCUAUAGGAUUGGUUCGCGCCCUAUCAGCUUGUUGGUGAGGUAACGGCUCACCAAGGCAAUGACGGGUACCUGGUCUGAGAGGACGAUCAGGCACACUGGAACUGAGACACGGUCCAGACACCUACGGGUGGCAGCAGUCGAGAAUAAUUCACAAUGGGGGCAACCCUGAUGGUGCAACGCCGCGUGGAGGAUGACGGUCUUCGGAUUGUAAACUCCUGUCAUCUGGGAGAAAGACCUGACGGUAAAUAGCCGGCAGGGUUGAUAGUACCUCCAGAAGCAGCCACGGCUAACUUCGUGCCAGCCGCCGCGGUAA
This 503-nucleotide ribosomal RNA is filed under the name uncultured bacterium. RNAcentral describes it as "partial 16S ribosomal RNA". It matches the Rfam family "Bacterial small subunit ribosomal RNA", at positions 29 to 523 of the family's 1533-position model. The record is from RNAcentral.